This 874-nucleotide long non-coding RNA is filed under the name Fukomys damarensis (Damara mole-rat). RNAcentral describes it as "lncRNA (ENSFDAG00000030866.1)". Lineage: Eukaryota; Metazoa; Chordata; Mammalia; Rodentia; Bathyergidae. The record is from RNAcentral.
AUGAAGAUGGCAAAUAAAUGCUGCUCUCCUGGCAACCAGGUGGUGCACAUGGGGUGGGUGUACGAGAGGCUGCAGGGAGCUGACUCCCCCCAGACCUUUGCAUCAAAGUUCCUGGCACUGAAGGGCUCGUCCGUCUACAUCCUCUGCUCUCCUCCGGUGAGCACGGCAGACUGGGUGCGGGCAGAGAGCGUCCAUAACCUCUGUGAGGUGCGAUUUAAAGCUCACAAGCUCUGGGUGAUGGAUAGCGGCUACUGGCUGCCAGCCAACCUCUGCCUCGGGCUGCAGGACUUGGACUUGGAGGACCAGAGACCAUACUGCUUCAGCCUCCUGGCCGGCCAGGGGAAGAGCCAUGUCUUCACCGUGGCACUGGGCACGGAGCUGGCAGUGUGGGAGAAGGCGUUCCAGAGAGCAACGUUCUUGGAGGUGCAGAGGACUGGGUCAAAAACAUACAUGUGCAGCUGGCAAGGAGAGGUGCUGUGUUUCACCGUGGACUUUGCUUUGGGGUUCACCUGCUUCGACAACAGGACGAAGAAUGUGCUCUGGAGAUUUAAAUUCUCCCAGCUGAAGGGGUCUUCGGAUGACGGAAACACUCGAGUAAAGCUACUAUUUCAGAACCCAGACACCAAACAAAUUGAGACAAAGGAGCUCGAGUUCCAGGACCUGCCGGCCGUGCUGCACUGUGUCCACGCCUUCAUGGCCUCCAAAGUGGCCUCCCUGGACCCCGCGUUCCCGGAUGGCCAAGGCCUCAUCAGAAGACACCCGCACAGCAGCAAGGGCAGCUUCCGCUGAGUGCUGAGAUGAAACUAUUUUCUUAGGACACGAACCUUUCCUGCACAGCACUGCACCUUUGUGUGAUUUUGUAUGGAGCCCAGAG